CAUGCAGGCGGUUUAUCAAGUAGGAUGUGAAAGCCCCGGGCUCAACCUGGGAAUUGCAUUCUAAACUGAUAGACUAGAGUACUGCAGGGGGGAGACGGAAUUCCAGGUGUAGCGGUGGAAUGCGUAGAUAUCUGGAAGAACACCAAAGGCGAAGGCAGUCUCCUGGGCAAAUCUGACGCUCAUAUGGAAAGCGUAGGUGGCAAACCA
This 207-nucleotide ribosomal RNA is filed under the name uncultured bacterium. RNAcentral describes it as "partial 16S ribosomal RNA". It matches the Rfam family "Bacterial small subunit ribosomal RNA", at positions 568 to 775 of the family's 1533-position model. The record is from RNAcentral.